UACGUAUGGUGCAAGCGUUAUCCGGAUUUACUGGGUGUAAAGGGAGCGCAGGCGGCACGGCAAGCCUGAUGUGAAAGCCCGCGGCCCAAUCGCGGGACUGCAUUGGGAACUACCGGGCUGGAGUGCCGGAGAGGUAGGCGGAAUUCCUAGUGUAGCGGUGAAAUGCGUAGAUAUUAGGAGGAACACCAGUGGCGAAGGCGGCCUACUGGACGGUGACUGACGCUGAGGCUCGAAAGCGUGGGGAGCAAACAGG
Molecule: ribosomal RNA, 253 nt
Filed under: uncultured bacterium
Lineage: Bacteria
Description: partial 16S ribosomal RNA
Rfam family: Bacterial small subunit ribosomal RNA
Source: RNAcentral